This 252-nucleotide ribosomal RNA is filed under the name uncultured bacterium. Its description in RNAcentral is "partial 16S ribosomal RNA". It matches the Rfam family "Bacterial small subunit ribosomal RNA", at positions 526 to 777 of the family's 1533-position model. The record is from RNAcentral.
CGUAGGGUGCGAGCGUUGUUCGGAAUCACUGGGCGUAAAGGGAGCGUAGGCGGGAUCGUAAGUUAGGAGUUUAAUACAUGGGCUCAACCCGUGAUAUGCUUUUAAUACUGCGGUUCUUGAGUAUGGGAGAGGGUGAUGGAAUUCCAGGUGUAGCGGUGGAAUGCGUAGAUAUCUGGAAGAACACCAGUAGCGAAGGCGGUCACCUGGCCCAAUACUGACGCUGAGGCUCGAAAGCUGGGGGAGCAAACAGGA